GACGAACCGUGCGAACGUUGUCCGGAUUUAUUGGGCGUAAAGAGCGUGUAGGCGGCCAGGUAGGUCUGCUGUGAAAACUCGAGGCUUAACCUCGAGCUGUCGGCGGAAACCAUCUGGCUAGAGUCCGGAAGAGGAGAAUGGAAUUCCCGGUGUAGCGGUGAAAUGCGCAGAUAUCGGGAAGAACACCCGUGGCGAAGGCGGUUCUCUGGGACGGUACUGACGCUGAGACGCGAAAGCGUGGGGAGCGAACAGG
This 253-nucleotide ribosomal RNA is filed under the name uncultured bacterium. RNAcentral describes it as "partial 16S ribosomal RNA". It matches the Rfam family "Bacterial small subunit ribosomal RNA", at positions 524 to 776 of the family's 1533-position model. The record is from RNAcentral.